RNAcentral lists this ribosomal RNA (441 nucleotides) under uncultured bacterium. RNAcentral's name for it is "partial 16S ribosomal RNA". It matches the Rfam family "Bacterial small subunit ribosomal RNA", at positions 338 to 795 of the family's 1533-position model. The record is from RNAcentral.
CCUACGGGAGGCAGCAGUGGGGAAUAUUGCACAAUGGGGGAAACCCUGAUGCAGCGACGCCGCGUGAGCGAGGAAGGAUUUCGGUAUGUAAAACUCUAUCAGCAGGGACGCAAAGAGACGGUACCGGACUAAGAAGCGCCGGCUAACUAAGUGCCAGCAGCCGAGGUAAUACGUAGGGGGCAAGCGUUCUCCGGAUUUACUGGGUGUAAAGGGAGCGUAGACGGCAAGGAAAGCCAGAAGUGAAAGGGCAGGGCUCAACCCGGGACACGCUGUUGGAACUGUGGUGCUAGAGUGCAGGAGAGGUAAGUGGAAUUCCCAGUGUAGCGGUGAAAUGCGUAGAUAUUAGGAGGAACACCAGUGGCGAAGGCGGCUUACUGGACUGUAACUGACGUUGAGGCUCGAAAGCGUGGGGAGCAAACAGGAUUAGAUACCCGAGUAGUC